This is a non-coding RNA of Schizosaccharomyces pombe (fission yeast), 325 nucleotides long. The record is from the annotation of a GenBank genome assembly. Lineage: Eukaryota; Fungi; Ascomycota; Schizosaccharomycetes; Schizosaccharomycetales; Schizosaccharomycetaceae.
AUAUACCGUAGGUCCACAGCAGUACCAUGUUAAGUUGGAACCAUUUGAAACAAAAGGCACCUUGCUAUGAGUUAAGGUGUUGUAUACAUAGAGCUCCGUUCUUUGUCCUUUAGGAACACCCCAAUGCGAUUGAGCGGGAUUUCUAGUCGACAUUAGAUUUUUAUUAAAAAAGCGACUAGAACUAUUGAAACAACGAGCCACGAGUUUAAAAAUCGUGAUUUUGAUUAUUUUGUCGUUGAGUUGGGUAAAAAUUUGGCAGGAUAACCUGAAUUAAGAUAACGGAGUAUUUGAUGCGCAAUUUUACAGGUUAUUGUUAGUACUUGAA